AUUGAACGCUGGCGGCAUGCCUUACACAUGCAAGUCGAACGGCAGCACGGGUGCUUGCACCUGGUGGCGAGUGGCGAACGGGUGAGUAAUACAUCGGAACGUACCUUAGCGUGGGGGAUAACGCAGCGAAAGCUGUGCUAAUCCCGCAUACGCCUUGUGGGGGAAAGCGGGGGAUCGCAAGACCUCACGCGAUUCGAGAGGCCGAUGCCUGAUUAGCCAGUUGGUGGGGUAAAAGCCCACCAAGGCGACGAUCAGUAGCUUGUCUGAGAGGCCGAUCAGCCACACUGGGACUGAGACACGGCCCAGACUCCUACGGGAGGCAGCAGUGGGGAAUUUUGGACAAUGGGGGCAACCCUGAUCCAGCAAUGCCGCGUGAGUGAAGAAGGCCUUCGGGUUGUAAAGCUCUUUUGUCAGGGAAGAAACACCGGCUCUAACACAGUCCGGGAAUGACGGUACCUGAAGAAUAAGCACCGGCUAACUACGUGCCAGCCGCCGCCGUAA
RNAcentral lists this ribosomal RNA (501 nucleotides) under uncultured bacterium. RNAcentral describes it as "partial 16S ribosomal RNA". It matches the Rfam family "Bacterial small subunit ribosomal RNA", at positions 30 to 523 of the family's 1533-position model. The record is from RNAcentral.